This is a small nuclear RNA of Lynx canadensis (Canada lynx), 102 nucleotides long. NCBI's taxonomy places the organism in Eukaryota, Metazoa, Chordata, Mammalia, Carnivora, Felidae. The record is from Ensembl.
AGUGCUCGCUUUGGUACCACAUACUAAAAUUGGAUACAGAGAAGAUGAACAUGGUCCCUACCCAAGGAUGACACCCAAAUAAUACGUAAGAACAAUUAUAAU